CGCAACCCUCCUUGACUGAAUUCAGCGUACCCGCGCAUCGUAUGUUGAACGGGCUCACCGCCGCGGGCGCCGACUUCACUAUCCCCAAUCAGCUUAGGUAUUGAGACACGCGUUUUCGAGCGAAGGUGGAGCGUGUGUGCGUGUUAGGGACGUGGGAGGGUGCUGUACAUCCUGCCUCUCCCCCUCACAGCAUGGACGGGGUCCAGUCUGCGCACGCCGUCGUCCUCUUCUGCCUUUUUGUUUUGUGCGCCAUCACCCUCCUCUCGUUUCUUCGGCAUGGUGUAGCACACAGAUGCACCUCCCCCACCUUGCUGACACCCGAAGUCCGGACACACGCCUGCUCACCCACCACAUAUGUGUCUGCUCCCUCCUUCCUGUAUUCAUAGCUGUUGAUCUGCAGUGCGAUGAAGAUGGAUGCGUCAGCUGUCAGGCACUCCUCGCAGCGGACGAGUGACAGUACGUCUACCUCCCACGUUCUCUUAACCGACAACGACGAUGACCACCGCCGCGACCAUCAUGUCCCUAUCACCGUCCCGUCCAACAGAAGCAACUCAACCUCCACUCCUCCGCUGCUCUCGAUGCGGUACAGCGGACGUGCGCUGUCUUCCUCGCACAGUCACGUCACCUACGGCGGGGACGCCUCGGCGCAGAAGCUGACGUCGACUUCAUCAGCCUCGUCUCUCUUCACGUGCCUGAGCACUCCGCUUUCGGGCUCUGAGGCGUGCAAGGCCGCUCUCCUAGGCGAUGCACGAGCCACGAGGGACACGGAAGGCAUGACAACGCCGGACGCCGUCGGCGCUGCUGCCGCACAGGAUGUAUCAUCGCCGCGGCGCAGCUCUGUAGCAUGCCCCUUGACGGUGUCGACCACAGAGCACGUGGCGGUGCUCACCGCCCCCGAGAACGGCCAGGAUGCGGAGGAGGUGCAUAGUUGCGUGACAUUGUCCUCCACGGCAACUUCUCCAGGAACGUCUCCUGUGGCAGCGGUGUUGCCGCCACUGCCACAGCAGCGGCGGGUGCUCCUGUCAUCGUCCAGCAACGAACGCCAAUACACGUCGCCGGCAACGGCACCGCAUACGGAGGAGGCCGCGCAGCUCCUCUCCUGUAGCAGUUCUUCCCCCAGCAUCAUCACGGUGUUCACCCCGCCUGCGAUGACGAGAGAGACCGCCGCCCACGCGCCGUUUUCCAUGAGCCCGGCGCCGUCGAAACCUCCCGCCGGACCCUCGGCCGCGACGGCGACAGCCAUGAUGACGUGCCACGCCAGAGCAUUGAGCGACGCCGAAAAGGAAGGCGUGGGACACGAAGCCCGUGCCCGGCCCUACAUGCUGCUCGACUCGGACUGCGGUGGUAGAUCCGCCGACUGUGCCGCCGGCACUCCGGCGGCGUCAACAGAAAGCGAGCAGCAGGGCCGCUCAUUGCACGAGACAGAGACACGCGCACCGCCAGCGAACGGCCCGGUCUGCGACGUUGAAGACGCUGAGGAGGCGGCGCCAGCAGCUCCGUCAGCCAUCAUCACGCCAGCGGCGGCGGAACGCGCGCUAUCGAGUGAGCAGCGCUACGCCUUCCACGCGGCAGUAAAGGAGCACCGGAGUGUGUUUAUCACUGGCGGCGCGGGCACCGGCAAGUCGCACCUGCUGCGCACCAUUAUUCGCGCCCUACCCUCCUCGUGCACGUUCGUCACCGCGACGACAGGCAUUGCCGCUCUCAACCUCAGCGGCUCGACGCUGCACAGCUUCGUCGGCUGCGGCAUCCCCAGUCGAAACAGCAAGGGCGACAGUCUGCUGAGCAUCGUUCUCAGCAAGCAGCGGUGCGUGCGCAGCUGGCGCACUUGCCGCGUACUGAUCAUAGACGAAGUGUCUAUGCUCGAGCCAAGCUUCUUCGACGUGGUCGACUACAUCGCUCGACACGUGCGCAACCGCCCGCACGAGCCGUUCGGCGGCAUUCAGCUCAUCCUCUCGGGCGACUUCCUCCAGCUCCCACCGGUGUCGCGCGAACGGCGCGGCAGCAGCCCGCAGUUCUGCUUCGAGACGGAGGCGUGGUGGAGGGUGAACCCGAGGGUAUGCCUGCUCUCAACGCCGUUCCGCCAACGCAGCCUGCGCUUCUUUGCCAUCUUGAACGAGAUGCGCGUCGGCGAGCUGCAGCCGGACUCGGUCGAGCUGCUCUACUCGAUGGACACGACGGAGCGGGUGCACUUUGUGCGGCGCACGGACAGCGCCACAGAUGUGAAGGUGGAGGACGACCACGGACCACCGGAGGUGGUGCGAGUGGGCCUCAAGCGAGCGGCGGACGUGAGCGCCGAGGCGGCAGUACGCAGCGCAGCCGCCUGCAAGACGGAGAUGUCGGCUACGAGUAUGCGACGGACACGGCUGGAGCUCGUCAACGGCCUCGGGCGCGCCAUGGAUGCCCCGUUCGACGGCUACACAAUCCUUCGUUCCACCCGCGCCGAGGUGGACGCGGAAAACGAACGGUACUACCGCCAGCUCAACACCGAGAUCUUCAUGUACCACGGCUUCCACACGGGCAAGGGUGACUUUCCGGAUAGCUCACUGACAAGGAUUGUGCACCUGCGCAAGGGCUGCCGUGUUAUGCUCAUCAAAAACUUCGACCCUCGGCUAGGGCUCGUCAACGGCAGCACCGGCACCAUCACCGACUUCGUGAGCUUCGCCAACGGUUACCUGUUCAAGACGCAGGGCAUCAGCGCCGACGACGCACGAUCCAUCUGCGUUGGGCGAGGCACGAUGAUGGACCAGCGGCACACGAUGUUGCCGGUUGUCGCCUUCGGGCUGCGCUGCGCUGAUGGCACCAUGGCGACACGCGAGCUCGUUGUGGAGCCGCAGGAGUGGAAGGAGAUGCUUGGGUCGCGCGAGGUGUCACGCUCUGUGCAGAUCCCGCUCAUCCUUGCCUAUGCCAUCACUAUCCACAAGUCGCAAGGGAUGUCGCUGACGCAGGUGGACAUCGACUUCAAGAAGGUAUUUGAGUCUGGCCAGUCGUACGUGGCGCUGUCGCGGUGCACUGAUAUGGAGAGCGUGCGGCUGCACGGAUUCGAUGCCCAUCGCGUCAGCGCAAACCCCACCGCUCUCGCGUACUACAAGGCGCUGGCUCUGCAGCAAGAGCGGCUGCGGUGGCGUCGCACUCAUGUGCCGCGGAUGGUGGAGGCCGAGGAAGCCAUGGAGGCGUUCAGCUGCACCCCGUAUGGGUACGUGCUUCUCAACGAGGCCGAGACGCUGGCGCGACACGGGAGGGAGGACCGCGCGACCGGGUUCAGCACCAGCUUCAAUAGUUUCGCGUCCACGUCCACGUCGUCCAGCCGCUCCCCGGCAUCCGACGGGGACUGCCUCAAGCCGGAGGACUUCGACGACGAGAACUGGGCCGCCGUGAAGGUGGUGGGGAAAGAGCGGCGCGACGGCGGCGGCGACGGAUGCACGCAGAGGCGACGCGAAAAGCACCACCGGCACCGAGAAGGCCACGCAUGCGCGGACGAUCAUAGCGCGGGGCGCACUCGCGCAUAUGCGCGUGACGGGCUCGACGGGGAGUCGAGUGACGGCAGCGACGAUGACGGCGACGACAUGAACGAGACAACGCGGCUAGACAAGCUGCGGCGCCGCAUCGUGCCGCUGCUGACGACGGCGGCCAUGGUGAAGCGCCUCGUCACACGUCAAGCAAUGCCGCUACAUCGCGUCCGUAACUCGCGCAUCGUCGUCGACGCGCACGCGCUAUUUCAGCUCGUGGCGGGGCCGGAGUCCGCAGCGGCGUUUGAUGUGCUCUUUGGCCAGCAGGACAACAUGAUGAGGGUGCCAUUGUGCGUGCACACGCUCGUCACGGAGGCGGCGGCGUACCGGAGCUGCUCCGAGUCCCUCAGCCAGUCGGUGUCACCGCAUCAGCCCGUGGACGGGUUACGCAGCAGCCGCGGCGACGCCCUCGUGGGCUACGACACCUGCAGAGGAAGCUUAGGUGGGGCGGGGUGCGAACCGUUCGAUGCCCCGCUGCUCGCAGCCUCCCACGCGGCAGCCGAGGCUCUUGCGGUGAUGGAGCGGGCGAAGCAGGACUUCAUUCUCGACGUGCAGCGACCAGAGCAAACAUGCGCGCUGCCGGCGGCGGACCCUGGCUGGCUGCGGUUCACAGUGGUGCUGCCGCUGCUCCGCCAUCGACAGGCGAAGGCCCGAACGAAGGACGGGCCCGGUGUCGAUGCUGCGAGUGACGCGGGCGGUGCGUGCCGCGAGGUGGACUUCAUCCUCAACCGCGACCCCCGCGAGAUUCUCCACCACCGCGCCAUCCUCGAGUAUGCCAUGUACUUGCAGGCCUCCUUCGGCGAAGACGUCGUUAUCUGCACGGACUCCGUUCUACUGGCCGCGUACGCCUUUGCGUGGCGGCUGCGCGUCGCGUCGAUAGACUACUUGUGCGGCGAUAACAGCGGUGCCGAUGGCGUGGCUACUUGACGGGGCUGAUGGGCUGGGGACAGAAAGGUCAUGCGCUACAGAGUGCCCAGCACGCAGACGAACACAUGCGGGGCCCGGAGCACAGCUAGCGGAUAAUGUGAGGCCAGCGAGCGACUUUGGCCUCAGAAAUGCCUCCGACGAAGUCAGAAAGCCACUGACCGCGCAUGUGUCUCAGUGUGGGGUCUCUGCUUGUUUGAUUGUGGGCGUCGUUCCCUUUUCUUUGUUUGUCUUCUGCGCAGACUGCCAUGUGUCUCUCUCUCUCUCACACACACACAGCGAAGCAUUCGUACGGAUCUACCAACACCACCGCAGCACCGCACGUGGCAAGGCAACCGUUCCACUCUAGCGCGCAGGCUGAUGAUGGGUCUUGCACCGGACCGCAUCGACAUCACAACCGUCGCCUCCUCAUUCUCGCGGCGCUAUAGCACUUUAGCUCGCACGGGUUCUCUGCUGAUGAAUGCCCUUCUCACCCUGUCGCCGCUCUGCUGGUGCGCUGAGCAACGUAAAGCCACUGGAAGACAGAGGCCGACAAGAGGAGGGUGGCCGAUGUGUCAAGCACAUGCCCUCCCCUCCUUUGUAUACGGUGCAUCAACGCAGCUUGUCGGUGUCGACUCAGGGACGCUGUUCUGGUCCUCUGCGCGUUCCUUCUCUCACUACAGCGACAACCGUUUUUCGUUGGUGUGCGCACGUGAUUGUACACGGCAACGCCGCCAUGACCUCCACUACAUCACCAUCAACACCUUCUCUUCGGGCACACAACAAUGAUGACCACGCGCACCCGCACCUGCCCGGAGCACGGUAGACUCCCCCUCCUUCUUCGCUGUCCUUCCCUCUAUUCUACUUGGCUGCUCCUCCUCGCGGAUAUCCUGUCGAGGGUGACGCUGACAUCGACACCGAAACGAAG
RNAcentral lists this unclassified non-coding RNA (5337 nucleotides) under Leishmania donovani. RNAcentral describes it as "gene:LdHU3.07.1380(CDS-product:DNA_repair_and_rec ombination_helicase_protein_PIF7_putative)". Lineage: Eukaryota; Euglenozoa; Kinetoplastea; Trypanosomatida; Trypanosomatidae. The record is from RNAcentral.